Molecule: transfer RNA, 72 nt
Rfam family: tRNA
About the family: Transfer RNA (tRNA) molecules are approximately 80 nucleotides in length. Their secondary structure includes four short double-helical elements and three loops (D, anti-codon, and T loops). Further hydrogen bonds mediate the characteristic L-shaped molecular structure. tRNAs have two regions of fundamental functional importance: the anti-codon, which is responsible for specific mRNA codon recognition, and the 3' end, to which the tRNAs corresponding amino acid is attached (by aminoacyl-tRNA synthetases). tRNAs cope with the degeneracy of the genetic code in two manners: having more than one tRNA (with a specific anti-codon) for a particular amino acid; and 'wobble' base-pairing, i.e. permitting non-standard base-pairing at the 3rd anti-codon position.
Source: Rfam
GGCGGUGUAGCUCAGUGGCAGAGCAUGCGGCUCAUAUCCGCAGGGUCCAGGGUCCGAAUCCCCGCACCGCCA